This 429-nucleotide ribosomal RNA is filed under the name Gemmatimonadota bacterium. Its description in RNAcentral is "Gemmatimonadetes bacterium partial 16S ribosomal RNA". It matches the Rfam family "Bacterial small subunit ribosomal RNA", at positions 355 to 776 of the family's 1533-position model. Lineage: Bacteria; Pseudomonadati; Gemmatimonadota. The record is from RNAcentral.
UAGGGAAUCUUCGGCAAUGGACGAAAGUCUGACCGAGCAACGCCGCGUGAGUGAAGAAGGUUUUCGGAUCGUAAAACUCUGUUGUUAGAGAAGAACAAGGACGUUAGUAACUGAACGUCCCCUGACGGUAUCUAACCAGAAAGCCACGGCUAACUACGUGCCAGCAGCCGCGGUAAUACGUAGGUGGCAAGCGUUGUCCGGAUUUAUUGGGCGUAAAGCGAGCGCAGGCGGUUUCUUAAGUCUGAUGUGAAAGCCCCCGGCUCAACCGGGGAGGGUCAUUGGAAACUGGGAGACUUGAGUGCAGAAGAGGAGAGUGCAAUUCCAUGUGUAGCGGUGAAAUGCGUAGAUAUAUGGAGGAACACCAGUGACGAAGGCGGCUCUCUGGUCUGUAACUGACGCUGAGGCUCGAAAGCGUGGGGAGCAAACAGG